AGUGAUUAUUAUAACGUCGUUCCGCGCAUAUUCGUAGAAUAAUACACGUUCGGAGCAAAUAUAUCUUAAAAAAUGAAAAUCGCUUUCCUGCAUCUGUAUUGGAAAAUGCUGCUUACAAGUAUUUUGACUCCAAGUAGCACAAUACAUGGUUUUAGUACAUUAAUAGGGUGUGACGCUGAACGAGGAUUUCCAGG
Molecule: long non-coding RNA, 194 nt
Organism: Mytilus trossulus (common blue mussel)
Lineage: Eukaryota; Metazoa; Mollusca; Bivalvia; Mytilida; Mytilidae
Exons: 3
Source: RefSeq, a predicted model, not a curated record